Molecule: non-coding RNA, 72 nt
Organism: Phrynosoma platyrhinos (Desert horned lizard)
Lineage: Eukaryota; Metazoa; Chordata; Lepidosauria; Squamata; Phrynosomatidae
Source: the annotation of a GenBank genome assembly
GACAGCUUGGCGUAGUGGUUUGGGUGUUGGAUUAUGAUGUUGGAGACCAGGGUUCGAAUCCCUGCUCUGCCA